UAAAGGAACACAGCUCUAUGUAUCAAUUGAAUGAUUCAGUAUUAAUUUGAAGCAUAUUAGAUCAUGGCUAAUGUUAAGCUGGCUGUCUACAACCUUCUUGAAACAUUUUACAAGUAUUCUGGCAAAGAGGGGGAUGCCCUUAAACUGAACUAGAAGGAGCUCACAACCUUACUUCAGCAAGAGCUGCCUUCCAUUGUACAGGAUGACGCUCUGGCCUCCAUAGACACAAACAGGGACGGAGAAGUUGAUUUUGAAGAGUUUAUAACUUUCAUAAAUGAAAAUACUACCACCAAGUGGGACAGCUACGUACGAGCUUUGUUAACAGAAAAAAGAAAUACUAAACUGAAGAUAAAGACAGCAACAGAAAAAUCCAUGGCUGUACUAAUAAAGACUUUUCAAAAGUAUGCUGGCAGAGAAGGAAACCCACUGUGUCUUGAAAGCAGAGAGCUAAAGGAUCUAGUCAGGGCAGAAAUGCCCACACUAUACAAGUGCUUUCAAAGUAACAGAAAAGGUUCAGCAGACAUUCUGAGGAUGCUGGACACAGAUGAAGACGGGAAAGUGGGCUUCAAAGAAUUUAUGUCAUUUCUUUCCAAAUUUGCUGUUGCAGUAGAUAUGGCAGUUGUGCGCUCAGUCGAGACCAAAAACAGCUGACUGUACGUUAAAAAAAAAACUAAAAACAAAAGAAUUAUUUAAAUCUAUACAGUAGACGUAGUAAUUAAAACCUCCAAUAAUUACGUAUUACAUUAGUUAUUAACUAUGUUAAUGUGACAU
Molecule: long non-coding RNA, 771 nt
Organism: Polyodon spathula (Mississippi paddlefish)
Lineage: Eukaryota; Metazoa; Chordata; Actinopteri; Acipenseriformes; Polyodontidae
Exons: 4
Source: RefSeq, a predicted model, not a curated record